RNAcentral lists this ribosomal RNA (301 nucleotides) under uncultured bacterium. RNAcentral describes it as "partial 16S ribosomal RNA". It matches the Rfam family "Bacterial small subunit ribosomal RNA", at positions 509 to 808 of the family's 1533-position model. The record is from RNAcentral.
CAGUAGCCGCGGUAAUCCGUAGGUCCCGAGCGUUGUCCGGAUUUAUUGGGCGUAAAGCGAGCGCAGGCGGUUAGAUAAGUCUGAAGUUAAAGGCUGUGGCUUAACCAUAGUACGCUUUGGAAACUGUUUAACUUGAGUGCAAGAGGGGAGAGUGGAAUUCCAUGUGUAGCGGUGAAAUGCGUAGAUAUAUGGAGGAACACCGGUGGCGAAAGCGGCUCUCUGGCUUGUAACUGACGCUGAGGCUCGAAAGCGUGGGGAGCAAACAGGAUUAGAUACCCCAGUAGUCCCUGUCUCUUAUACC